UACGUAGGGACCAAGCGUUGUUCGUAAUUACUGGGCGUAAAGGGCGCGUAGGCGGUGAGGUAUGUGUGGUGUGAAAGCCCCGGGCUCAACCUGGGAAUUGCAUUCGAGACUGAAUAGCUAGGGUGCGGUAGAGGGAAGCGGAAUUUCCGGUGUAGCGGUGAAAUGCGUAGAUAUCGGAAGGAACAUCAGUGGCGAAAGCGGCUUCCUGGACCAGCACCGACGUUCAGGCACGAAAGCGUGGGGAGCAAACAGG
Molecule: ribosomal RNA, 253 nt
Filed under: uncultured bacterium
Lineage: Bacteria
Description: partial 16S ribosomal RNA
Rfam family: Bacterial small subunit ribosomal RNA
Source: RNAcentral